GACGAACGCUGGCGGCGUGCUUAACACAUGCAAGUCGAACGGAAAGGCCCUGCUUUUGUGGGGUGCUCGAGUGGCGAACGGGUGAGUAACACGUGAGUAACCUGCCCUUGACUUUGGGAUAACUUCAGGAAACUGGGGCUAAUACCGGAUAGGAGCUCCUGCUGCAUGGUGGGGGUUGGAAAGUUUCGGCGGUUGGGGAUGGACUCGCGGCUUAUCAGCUUGUUGGUGGGGUAGUGGCUUACCAAGGCUUUGACGGGUAGCCGGCCUGAGAGGGUGACCGGCCACAUUGGGACUGAGAUACGGCCCAGACUCCUACGGGAGGCAGCAGUGGGGAAUAUUGCACAAUGGGCGGAAGCCUGAUGCAGCAACGCCGCGUGCGGGAUGACGGCCUUCGGGUUGUAAAACGCUUUCGCCUGUGACGAAGCGUGAGUGACGGUAAUGGGUAAAGAAGCACCGGCUAACUACGUG
RNAcentral lists this ribosomal RNA (468 nucleotides) under uncultured bacterium. RNAcentral's name for it is "partial 16S ribosomal RNA". It matches the Rfam family "Bacterial small subunit ribosomal RNA", at positions 28 to 507 of the family's 1533-position model. The record is from RNAcentral.